AUACCCGGGUAGUCCACGCCCUAAACGAUGUCAACUGGUUGUUGGGUCUUCACUGACGAUCCAACCCGCAAGGGGGGAAGUCGCCUAAGGUGAGAUCGGUAAGGAGGGCU
Molecule: ribosomal RNA, 110 nt
Filed under: uncultured bacterium
Lineage: Bacteria
Description: partial 16S ribosomal RNA
Source: RNAcentral